This 327-nucleotide ribosomal RNA is filed under the name uncultured eukaryote. Its description in RNAcentral is "partial 18S ribosomal RNA". It matches the Rfam family "Eukaryotic small subunit ribosomal RNA", at positions 1470 to 1796 of the family's 1831-position model. The record is from RNAcentral.
CCCUUAGAUGUUCAGGGCCGCACGCGCGCUACACUGACGAAUGCAACGAGCUUAUAACCUUGGCCGAAAGGUCUGGGUAAUCUCCAAAUUUCGUCGUGAUGGGGAUAGAUUAUUGCAAUUAUUAAUCUUCAACGAGGAAUGCCUAGUAAGCGCAAGUCAUCAGCUUGCGUUGAUUACGUCCCUGCCCUUUGUACACACCGCCCGUCGCUCCUACCGAUUGAAUGGUCCGGUGAAGCGUUCGGACCGUGGCCUUUGGACGGUUCGCCGUCUGUUGGCUGCGGGAAGUUCGUUAAACCUUAUCAUUUAGAGGAAGGAGAAGUCGUAACA